This 6941-nucleotide long non-coding RNA is filed under the name Vigna radiata. Its description in RNAcentral is "long non-coding RNA (VRAD_LNC014306)". The record is from RNAcentral. Lineage: Eukaryota; Viridiplantae; Streptophyta; Magnoliopsida; Fabales; Fabaceae.
UUAAAAUAAUAAGACUUGAAAAAUAAAAAUUAAUAAAUUGGAAUUGAGAACAAAAUAUAUUAACAUGUAAAAAUAAAGUUGAUUCAAUUGACAAGCGAAAACAAUGGAGGAAUGGAUGUUGUUGGGGGUUUACAAUUUCAUUUAUUCCGCUCUCUCUUACAUACUACCCUUGAAUAUUAGAUUGAUUAAUUGUUAUGCGACUUUCUUAGCCUCCCCUUAACCCGAUCCCUCGGUGAAAAGGGCCUAAUAUUAACUACUGGCUUGCUAUCCCUAGCCUCCCCUAGUAAUUAAUACCGCAUUAUAAACAGAAGUUAGCGUAAUUGAUCGGCCUACCCCUAUCCCUAGGUGGUAUUGCAAAAUCAAGAGAUUACUCACCAGUUCAUAUGAUAACCCAACAAUAAAGACAAACAUCGAUAUACCGAAUGAGUUAAACGAUAAAAGCCUUAAGCACAUAUGAUAACCCAACAAUAAUCAAUAAAAGCAUAUGGAGACCAUAUAAAUAAUCAAGAGUUUUCAAUAAGAGAGAGCAUCAAAAGAUUACAUAGUUUCCCCCAACAACAAUAGGGUUUAGUUCACCAUAGACAUGGUGAAACUAGAUGAAAAAUGGAAGAGGAAUGGAAAAGCAAACCCUAGAAAAUAUGAAAAGGAGCCUAAGCAUCCAAGAGAUCCUUUCCAGAGAGCAAAAUUAGGUUUGGCCGUUCUCCCCUGUCAAAAGAAUGACUCUGAAUUCGUAAGGGGGGUAUUUAUAGGUGAGGAGCGCGUCAAAGAAAAAACAGGCCCAAGUCCAGCGUGCCACCGCCGGGCGGUUUAAGUGUGCCGCCCGGUGGUUUCCCUUAACAUGCCAUCGCCGCCCGGCGGCCAUCGCCACCGCCUGACGGUUUCCCUCAGCGUGAAAUGCCCUGCCUACUCCUCGUCAUUGAUCGCCCAACGGUUUAAGAGUGCUUCUUGGCGGUACGUCGACUCUUCAAAACUUCAUUUUUCUGCUCUUUUCUUGAGUCAACGACUUGUAUCUUCAACUCCAUUCAUUCUUUUCUCAAAUUAGCUACAAAAGAAUGCAAAAUAAGCAUAAAAUCGCUAAAAACAACUUCUGACUUUCUCCAGACUCAUUUAUUGAGUUGUGCUUGAUUCUGAGCUCAUUCGAAGUAGUAAAGGAUGUAAUUUGGUCCAAAUUGACAUAUGAAAAUAACUUUUUUUCAACCUUCAUCAACACCCCAAACUUAGAAUUUUGAUUGUCCUCAAGCAAAACAAACAAAUCAAUCACACAAAACAAAACUUGGCUUUAUACGAUUUCAUCAAAUGCCUCAACAAUCCUAAGGUACAUGACAAAACCACUCAAUUCAAUAUCCUUAGUGAAAUCCAAAAUAAGAUGCAUGCAUCCUUUCAACCCAAAGAUUGCAUAAUAGAUGUUAUAUACUAUGAAUGAUCAAUCCACUAAGGAAAAAUUUACUCAUGAAAUUUAACAAUUCAUACCACGUAGGUGUUUCACUCAAUCACUCAAGUGUUGCAGGUGACACUGCAACUCUCAAUUACUCACAAGUCGCAUGAAACAAAAUUGCUAUUCAUCUAAAACAAUCAACAUCUUUACAUGGAAAUGCCAUCAAAAGGACUUUUCCAAGGCUUGAAACGAGGUUGGGCGAACAAGAAAGAAUUGGUUUUUCUAGAAUGCAAAAUCCUUGAGUCAAGAGAGCUAUCAAAAUUUCAACAUUUAAGCACAACUCUCACCAAUGUCUCUCAUUCCCAACUUUCCCCUUUNCUUUUUCUUUUGCAUUGAGCUCUUCUUCAUGCUUUUCUUCUUUUCUUUUCUUUUUCUCAUGAAUUUUCUUUUCACAAUAUUUGAGCUCAAUGCUUUUCACUUGCUUUUUCAAUUUUCCCCUGCACAACCCCAAACUUGAACCUUUUCAUCACAUACAAUUAAGCUCAUCCCAACUCAAGGAAAAGAAUUUCAAAACAAAGGUUCACAUCCUGUUUAAGGCUAAGGUUCAAAAAGGGUAUAAUAUUUCAAACACUUUGGGUGAAAAUUUGGCUAGAGAAGGGUUUUCAAAAAUGGCCUUGAUCAUAUGACAUUUACAUGCAAUUCAAUUGAUCAAGAUUAAGGCAAUAUCAUCCAUGGUUUCCUGUGAAUAAUACAUGCAACAAUAAAAACUCUGGAGCUCAAAAUCUCACACACAUGCUGCCUCACAAAAAAUUCAUUCAUACACCAUGCCUAGCAUUAAGACCACAAUCAUAAAUUCAUCACCCAUCUAUUUCCUGGAUAUCAUCAUGCAUUACAACUCAAUUUUCAUCCACAACCAGUAAUCAUCAAGUAAAUUCAUCAAGCACAUCAGGUGGUCCAACAUUUUCAGAGCAAGUAGUAAAGCCAAGAGUACACACCAAAAUAAAAAUAAAAAUUCAACCUAUUCUAUGAAUUUAAAAAGAAACAAAAUAAAACAAAUAAAAGAAAGAAAUAAAAGUAAAAGAAAGAAAGACUAAGUCCUGUCUAUAGACAUCCCUCAGUAAAUGUCUGCUAUCAGCCCAUGCUGUCAUCGGAGUCGUCCUGACUCUCAUCAUCUGCGUCCUCAAAGUUCUCCUCCUCAGUGUUCGGAGCUCCAGCAGCUCCAAAACCACUACUCUACUCUUGCUGCUCAGGCCAUGCCACAAUUGCAUGAAACUCAUCCAUGGUCCACCUGUGUGCUGGUGGAUGGUCAUAUAAUCCAAUGAUCAUUUCAGCUGUCGUCACCUGCCCUCUGUGAAACACCUCCAUCCGAGCCUCCAUCAUGGACAUAUACAUGUCCCUCAUCUGGAAGGGCUUCGCGUGCUGAGCUGGUACCUCAUCGGUCACCUGCUCCUGUUGAGAAGCGGCUCUCCUACGCCGCCUCCAAGGUGUUGCCCCUGCUGCAUCUACUGCACCGGCUGCUCCAACUACAACACAAUACUGGUGAAAAUAUGCCGCAUCAAUAGUAUUCCUGAGUCUCUCAAAUGGGGGAACUACAGUGUUCAUCCUAGCCCGCUGGCACAGAAAAGUGAUCAAGGAUGGAUGCCCAAAUGGCAUCCUGCUACUGAUGGUCAUAUCACAGCUCCUAAUCUCGUCAGCAAUGAUAUGGCCGACAUUCACCUCCAUCUGUCUCAUCAAGCAGAAGAUGAGAUGAACCCUGUGAAUAGUGAUAUCUGAGAUGUGGGAGCACGGUUGGAUGUUGGAAUGUGUGAACGUCAUUCAGUAUCUGGCCAAUGGGGUCAUAUCCAACCGUCGAAUGUUCACCGGCCUACCGCUAGCGUUAGGCUGAAAGUGUCUACCAGGAAGACACACAACCUCCUUAAUGUUAGCCACAACAUCAAGUACACCAGAAUAGGUUGCAUACUGGCAUCGCUCCCUUGGCCACUCUAUUCCCAAGAAGCUGUUAAUGGUGUCUGGGUCAUAACUGAUAAUAUGCCCCCUCACGAAGCUCAUAAAUCUCCCAGCGUCCACUCUUCCUCUGGGUACCGCGUUGGUGUAAAACUCCUUCACCAACUUCACACUAGCAGGUGUCGGGUAAGUCGUCAGUUUCUCCCAAUCUCUCCUCAGAAUCUCCUCCUCAAACUCAGGAACCAAAAUAGGUAAAAAGGAGGUUUUCCUCUUCAUAAACAACCUCCUUUCUUGUACAGUAGCAAAGUGUUCCUCAUGUUGCUUUGAGAGGAACCUUUGAGAGUCAAAUCCUCUCGAGCUUUCUGGCAUCUUCCUUUUGCCUCCAGUGUUUCUUGUCCGUCGUGAUGCUGAAGCCAUUUUUGUAACAAAUACAAUAUGCCAAAAACCAUAGAAAUCCAUUGUCUGGAGUUAAUCCAUCAACAAGUAUUCAGAUCCAGCAAAAUUUUCAAAAUGAGUGCACAAAUUCCCCUCAUCCAUAAUACAGAAAAACCAUAAGAACACAGCAUACCGCCUGACGGUACAGAGGCUUACCGCCCGACGGUAUGCAUCCAGCUUGAAUACCGCCCGGCGGUAGAGGCAUACCGCCCGGCGGUGAGGGGGUUUUCAAACUUUUUCCACAAAACACUCCUAAUCUCUACUCAACUACUAAUUCCUAACAUGCAAUUCAAUUCCAAACAGUUUAAUUGGUCCAAAACAGUUCCCAAUUCAACAAUUUAUGCAAAGAAUCUCAAAGCCCUAAAUUACCUAAUUUCUAAACAUGCUCAACAAGAAUUUAAAAAUCAAGAACUUAACAAAUAAAAUUUUACAACUUACUUGAGUGGAGAUAUGAAUGCUAGCAACAAUUCCUUCAAUAGAUGAUGGGAAAUUCUAAAUACACACUCCCAUUAAGAAAACCAAAAGAUAAGCAAGAACAAAACCCUUUUUGUUAAUGGGUGUUGAGAAAUGUAGAGAAAUCUCUCUAAAACCCUCUAGGAAGUGCAAAUCUGGAGCAAGGAAGCAAGGAGACCGCCUGGCGAAACUCAAAUGGGCAAGAAAAAGUGAGGGAGUCUUGAAAAUACCCAGCUUUUAAAGAGCUCGGGUUUCUGGUCCGCCGCCACCGCCCGACGGCAAAGUGGUACCGCCCGACGGUGGCUUAAAAUUUUUCCUUCCCUUUUUUCUUGUUUGCCUCUUUGUGAUUUCUCCUGGGGACUCCUGAUCUAUGCCCUAGAUUUUCGAAACAGAAGAUUUUCCUCACUCAAAUGCAUGUGCACACACAGAAUGUAAUAAACAUAAUUUGAAAAACAGAAAACAAACACGAAAAUUCAAAUAAUGAACUAGCAGUUUAGAAAGUCUCCCCAAACAACCAUCGAUAGGUGUCACGCUUCUUAGUGCUUGGUAUUUCCUUCUUCUUCUUCUUUAUGCUAAACCCCUUCAAGAAAUUGAUCAUGCCAAACACGUGUUUCCAAGCAUCAAUCAUAGGAGCCUUGACCUCUAAUCUGUCAAAGAUCUCCUUGAAAUGCUUAACCCUAUUUUCCUUCCUAGGGUUUUUCUUUUUAUGAGGAAAUGGUUCUUUACAUGUCUCUUUUUUUUUCUCUUUUCCUUCUUCUCUUAAUUUUCUCUUUCCUUGACCUUCCCUUUUUCUUCCUCCUCCCUUUCUUUAUUUUCAAUUUUUUUUUCUUUUUCUUUUCUCAACCAUGGCUCUUCCAUCCUCAUAUUUCAUCUCACUCUCAUUUUUUAUUUCUAUUUCCUCUAUAUUUCUCUCAACAACAAUUUCUUCUAUUUUUGUUUUCUCUUCCAACAUCUCCAGCUCUUCUUCUUCUUUCUUUUCCUCGUUGAGAACCUUAUCAUGUUCAAAGUUAGUUGCUUGAUAUUCUUCUUUAAGGUUGACUUCAGUAUCAACCUUAAUAAUACCCAAAGCCUUCAGGGCAUGAGAGUGUUGUUUCUGCAAUAAAUGUGCUUGUGCUUCUCCCAAUGUUUCUUUGUGUACAGGAGAUUGUUUUUGUUGUAAAUGUUGUUGGACUUCCCAAAACGUUUCUUUUGGUCCAGAGACCACAUACUGCCGCAAGAAUUUUUGGACUUCCCCCAACGUGUCUUCUAGUAUAGAGAAUAAUUCCUGUUGUAAACGUUCUUUAGCUUCCCUUAAAGUUUCUUUUUGUGAGGAGGACUGAUGCCCUAAGUGGUUUCGAUAUAUAUUUGAAAAUAGAUCCCCACAAUGGUUGAAAUCAUUUUGGUAGAAUUAAGUGCCCAUAUAAUCAAGUUCUUAUUUAAACUGCAUUCUGCAAACGUUAGGCACAAAACCCUAGAAAACAUUUAUUGGAAUAAAAAUAAAAAUGAACAUAAAAUCAAGUCAAACUCAAUCAAUCCACACUACUAAAAAAAUAACCUCGAGUCCCCAGCAGCGGCGCCAAAAAACUUGUUGACAAAUUGGCAAGUGUACCAAAUCGUACAAGUAAUAUAAAUGGUAAGACCAAGUAUCGUUUUUCCCAAGAGACUCGUAUGGCUUUCUCGUUCGCGUGAAUUAAAAUAAUAAGACUCGAAAAAUAAAAAGGCUUAAUACCUCCCUUGGUCCUCAUAUUUGUGUGAAAAUCUUAGUUCGGUCCUCAAGUUUUGAACUGUCUCAAUUGGGUCAUAAUUUUUGUAAAAAUGCACACAUUUUACCCCAACUGUUAACUGAUCUCAAACAGCGUUAAGUUUAGCUGACGUGGUACGCUGAUGUGUUGGCUUAAUCCCUUCUUGGUCCUCGUAUUUGUGUGAAAAUCUCAGUUCGGUCCUCAAGUUUUGAACUGUCUCAAUUGGGUCAUAAUUUUUGUAAAAAUGCCCACAUUUUGCCCCAAUCGUUAACUGAUCUCAAACGGCGUUAAAUUUAGCUAACGUGGUAGCCAGAGGACAUGAUGACGUGUAUUAUUUAAUUAUAUGAAUUAUUUUUUAAAAUAAGCAGUGUUUCACGUGGCACAAUGCCUAUUAUUUAGUUUAUUUGAAUUAGGGAUUUUAUUCAUCUAUCUGAUAAUCGGGGAUUUUACACAGAUUAUCUCGUCGCCUCAAAAAAUAAAGUCACUGGAAAACUCGCGUAACCAGUGCAAUCAGUCUCACAGCUUUUUCUACAAAUGAACCAACUUGGUAACCUAUAGGUUCAUCACCAGCCUUUAAGCUAUUUAUUCCACUAAUAGUAGAAGAUAUCUGUUGUUGCACAGUGAGAUUAGUUAGCGAUUGGGGUAAAAUGUGUGCAUUUUUACAAAAAUUAUAACCCAAUUGAGACCGUUCAAAACUUGAGGACCGAAUUGAGAUUUUCUCAAAAAUAAGAGGACCAAGAAGAGAUUAAGCCAACACAUGAGCAUACCACAUGUUGAUUCAAUUGACAAACGAAAACAAUGGAGGAAUGAAUGUUGUUGGAGGUUUACAAUUUCAUCUAUUCUGCUCUCUCUUACAUACUACCCUUGAAUAUUAGAUUGAUUAAUUGUUAUGCGACUUUCUUAGCCUCCCCUUAACCCGAUCCCUCGGCGUAAAGGGCCUAAUAUUAACUAUUGGCUUGCUAUCCCUAGCCUCCCCUAGUAAUUAAUACCGCAUUAUAAACAGAAGCUAGCGC